GAUGAACGCUGGCGGCGUGCCUAAUACAUGCAAGUCGAACGAGGUGCUUUUGUAGCAAUACGAGAGUAUCCUAGUGGCGAACGGGUGAGUAACGCGUUGGUGACCUACCCCAAAGUGUGGGAUAACAGUCCGAAAGGAUUGCUAAUACCGCAUGUGGUCUUCGGAUUUAGAAACUGAUGACUAAAGGAGCAAUUCGCUUUGGGAGGGACCUGCGUCCCAUCAGCUAGUUGGUGAGGUAAUGGCUCACCAAGGCUACGACGGGUAGGGGACCUGAGAGGGUGACCCCCCCACAAUGGAACUGAAACACGGUCCAUACACCUACGGGUGGCAGCAGUAGGGAAUAUUGCACAAUGGGCGAAAGCCUGAUGCAGCAACGCCGCGUGUGCGAUGAAGGCCUUCGGGUCGUAAAGCACUUUUACUGGGAGAUGAGCAAGGACAGUAUCUCAGGAAUAAGUCUCGGCUAACUACGUGCCAGCAG
This 478-nucleotide ribosomal RNA is filed under the name uncultured bacterium. Its description in RNAcentral is "bacterial SSU rRNA". It matches the Rfam family "Bacterial small subunit ribosomal RNA", at positions 28 to 514 of the family's 1533-position model. The record is from RNAcentral.